AGUCGAGCGGUAGCACAGAGAGCUUGCUCUCGGGUGACGAGCGGCGGACGGGUGAGUAAUGUCUGGGAAACUGCCUGAUGGAGGGGGAUAACUACUGGAAACGGUAGCUAAUACCGCAUAACGUCGCAAGACCAAAGUGGGGGACCUUCGGGCCUCAUGCCAUCAGAUGUGCCCAGAUGGGAUUAGCUAGUAGGUGGGGUAACGGCUCACCUAGGCGACGAUCCCUAGCUGGUCUGAGAGGAUGACCAGCCACACUGGAACUGAGACACGGUCCAGACUCCUACGGGAGGCAGCAGUGGGGAAUAUUGCACAAUGGGCGCAAGCCUGAUGCAGCCAUGCCGCGUGUGUGAAGAAGGCCUUCGGGUUGUAAAGCACUUUCAGCGGGGAGGAAGGCGAUAAGGUUAAUAACCUUGUCGAUUGACGUUACCCGCAGAAGAAGCACCGGCUAACUCCGUGCCAGCAGCCGCGGUAAUACGGAGGGUGCAAGCGUUAAUCGGAAUUACUGGGCGUAAAGCGCACGCAGGCGGUCUGUCAAGUCGGAUGUGAAAUCCCCGGGCUCAACCUGGGAACUGCAUUCGAAACUGGCAGGCUAGAGUCUUGUAGAGGGGGGUAGAAUUCCAGGUGUAGCGGUGAAAUGCGUAGAGAUCUGGAGGAAUACCGGUGGCGAAGGCGGCCCCCUGGACAAAGACUGACGCUCAGGUGCGAAAGCGUGGGGAGCAAACAGGAUUAGAUACCCUGGUAGUCCACGCCGUAAACGAUGUCGAUUUGGAGGUUGUGCCCUUGAGGCGUGGCUUCCGGAGCUAACGCGUUAAAUCGACCGCCUGGGGAGUACGGCCGCAAGGUUAAAACUCAAAUGAAUUGACGGGGGCCCGCACAAGCGGUGGAGCAUGUGGUUUAAUUCGAUGCAACGCGAAGAACCUUACCUGGUCUUGACAUCCACAGAACUUUCCAGAGAUGGAUUGGUGCCUUCGGGAACUGUGAGACAGGUGCUGCAUGGCUGUCGUCAGCUCGUGUUGUGAAAUGUUGGGUUAAGUCCCGCAACGAGCGCAACCCUUAUCCUUUGUUGCCAGCGGUUCGGCCGGGAACUCAAAGGAGACUGCCAGUGAUAAACUGGAGGAAGGUGGGGAUGACGUCAAGUCAUCAUGGCCCUUACGACCAGGGCUACACACGUGCUACAAUGGCAUAUACAAAGAGAAGCGACCUCGCGAGAGCAAGCGGACCUCAUAAAGUAUGUCGUAGUCCGGAUUGGAGUCUGCAACUCGACUCCAUGAAGUCGGAAUCGCUAGUAAUCGUAGAUCAGAAUGCUACGGUGAAUACGUUCCCGGGCCUUGUACACACCGCCCGUCACACCAUGGGAGUGGGUUGCAAAAGAAGUAGGUAGCUUAACCUUCGGGAGGGCGCU
This 1402-nucleotide ribosomal RNA is filed under the name Klebsiella pneumoniae. Its description in RNAcentral is "bacterial SSU rRNA". It matches the Rfam family "Bacterial small subunit ribosomal RNA". The record is from RNAcentral. Lineage: Bacteria; Pseudomonadati; Pseudomonadota; Gammaproteobacteria; Enterobacterales; Enterobacteriaceae.